Molecule: unclassified non-coding RNA, 198 nt
Filed under: plant metagenome
Description: partial contains small subunit ribosomal RNA and internal transcribed spacer 1
Rfam family: Eukaryotic small subunit ribosomal RNA (bases 1-46)
Source: RNAcentral
AAGUCGUAACAAGGUUUCCGUAGGUGAACCUGCGGAAGGAUCAUUAGUGAAUAUUAGCGCAUCUACUUGUAGAGCGUGACCUCCACUUUCUAACUCUGUGCAUUUAUUGGCGGAAGGACUUGAGCAAUCGAGUUUCCUUCUGCGGCUCAUUUUAAAACACUAGUUAAAGUAUGUAACGAAAUAUCGAAACAAAAAAAG